AGAGUUUGAUUAUGGCUCAGAUUGAACGCUGGCGGCAGGCCUAACACAUGCAAGUCGAACGGUAACAGGAAACAGCUUGCUGUUUCGCUGACGAGUGGCGGACGGGUGAGUAAUGUCUGGGAAACUGCCUGAUGGAGGGGGAUAACUACUGGAAACGGUAGCUAAUACCGCAUAACGUCGCAAGACCAAAGAGGGGGACCUUCGGGCCUCUUGCCAUCGGAUGUGCCCAGAUGGGAUUAGCUAGUAGGUGGGGUAACGGCUCACCUAGGCGACGAUCCCUAGCUGGUCUGAGAGGAUGACCAGCCACACUGGAACUGAGACACGGUCCAGACUCCUACGGGAGGCAGCAGUGGGGAAUAUUGCACAAUGGGCGCAAGCCUGAUGCAGCCAUGCCGCGUGUAUGAAGAAGGCCUUCGGGUUGUAAAGUACUUUCAGCGGGGAGGAAGGGAGUAAAGUUAAUACCUUUGCUCAUUGACGUUACCCGCAGAAGAAGCACCGGCUAACUCCGUGCCAGCAGCCGCGGUAAUA
This 528-nucleotide ribosomal RNA is filed under the name uncultured Gammaproteobacteria bacterium. RNAcentral's name for it is "bacterial SSU rRNA". It matches the Rfam family "Bacterial small subunit ribosomal RNA", at positions 8 to 525 of the family's 1533-position model. Lineage: Bacteria; Pseudomonadati; Pseudomonadota; Gammaproteobacteria. The record is from RNAcentral.